UGUUGAACAAGUAAAGAAUGUUCUUUUCAUGUCUAAUAAACAAGAACUUUCAACUAUAAUGGAAAGAUAUAGAGGAAAAGCACCCAAACCUUUGUGCAGCCAGUUUCCCACCAAACGAUCCAAGGCUGAGGCAAUAAAAAUAUAUGUUGCGAGGAACAAGCAUGUCAGUCAUGCACUUUAUCCAUGCUUGGAACAGCAAAGACAGCAGUUACAAGACCUAACAGAUGAUGCAGAUCAAAUAUUAAAUAGCUCUGGGAAUAAAAGUACUCGCAAAUGUACUAAAUGCAAAGCUCCAAUGAAAGGACAUCCUCGAGGUCAAUGCUUCACU
Molecule: long non-coding RNA, 328 nt
Organism: Xenia sp. Carnegie-2017
Lineage: Eukaryota; Metazoa; Cnidaria; Anthozoa; Malacalcyonacea; Xeniidae
Exons: 2
Source: RefSeq, a predicted model, not a curated record